Sphaerodactylus townsendi is the source of this 267-nucleotide long non-coding RNA. RefSeq lists it as uncharacterized. The record is from RefSeq and is a predicted model, not a curated record. The transcript is spliced from 3 exons. Lineage: Eukaryota; Metazoa; Chordata; Lepidosauria; Squamata; Sphaerodactylidae.
UGUUAGUAUUAGGUGUACCAUUAGGAUCAGUAUUAGUAUUAUCAGGUAGUAGAUGUCGUAUUAGGAUCAGGAAGCGCCCCAGGCAACUGCCGCCUUUCCUCGUCCGGGCUCUUGUGGCCUGGCGAGGGAUUGCGCGCUUCUCCGGGGGCGCUCUUUCGAGACAAAAGUUUGGCGUCCCGGCUGCAAAUGGCGGCCGGAGUUGUGGGGCGACCCUAUGGAAGGAGUGGCGGGCUCUGCUGGCGAGCUAAGGAAGAGCAUCAAUAAAGC